GCUCAACCGAGGAAGUGCUUCGAAAACUGGUAAAAUUGAGUGCAGAAGAGGAAAGUGGAACUCCGUGUGUAGCGGUGGAAUGCGUAGAUAUAUGGAAGAACACCAGUGGCGAAGGCGGCUUUCUGGUCUGUAACUGACGCUGAGAUUCGAAAGCAUGGGUAGCAAACAGGAUUAGAUACCCUGGUAGUCCAUGCCGUAAACGAUGAGUGCUAAGUGUUGGAGGGUUUCCGCCCUUCAGUGCUGCAGCUAACGCAUUAAGCACUCCGCCUGGGGAGUACGAUCGCAAGAUUGAAACUCAAAGGAAUUGACGGGGGCCCGCACAAGCGGUGGAGCAUGUGGUUUAAUUCGAAGCAACGCGAAGAACCUUACCAGGUCUUGACAUACCAUGAAAAGCUUAGAGAUAAGUCUUUCCCUUCGGGGACAUGGAUACAGGUGGUGCAUGGUUGUCGUCAGCUCGUGUCGUGAGAUGUUGGGUUAAGUCCCGCAACGAGCGCAACCCUUAUUAUCAGUUGCCAGCAUUCAGUUGGGCACUCUGGUGAGACUGCCGGUGAUAAACCGGAGGAAGGUGGGGACGACGUCAAAUCAUCAUGCCCCUUAUGACCUGGGCUACACACGUGCUACAAUGGUCGGUACAACG
Molecule: ribosomal RNA, 637 nt
Filed under: uncultured bacterium
Lineage: Bacteria
Description: bacterial SSU rRNA
Rfam family: Bacterial small subunit ribosomal RNA
Source: RNAcentral